CGUUAGCGGCGGGCUUAACACAUGCAAGUCGAGCGAGAAAGGGGCUUCGGCCCUGAGUACAGCGGCGGACGGGUGAAUAACACGUAGGUAACCUUCCUUUCAGCGGGGGACAACGGUCCGAAAGGACCGCUAAUACCGCAUACGUUCCCUAGGACCUCGGUCCUGGGGAGGAAAGGCCCGCAAGGGCCACUGGAUGAGGGGCCUGCGUAGCAUCAGCUAGUUGGUGGGGUAAUGGCCUACCAAGGCGAAGACGCUUAGCUGGUCUGAGAGGAUGAUCAGCCACACUGGGACUGAGACACGGCCCAGACUCCUACGGGAGGCAGCAGUGGGGAAUAUUGGACAAUGGGCGCAAGCCUGAUCCAGCCACGCCGCGUGAGUGAUGAAGGCCUUCGGGUCGUAACGACUCUGUGGGGAGGGGACGGAACGGACGGCCACU
This 436-nucleotide ribosomal RNA is filed under the name uncultured bacterium. RNAcentral's name for it is "bacterial SSU rRNA". It matches the Rfam family "Bacterial small subunit ribosomal RNA", at positions 34 to 463 of the family's 1533-position model. The record is from RNAcentral.